RNAcentral lists this ribosomal RNA (436 nucleotides) under Lachnospiraceae bacterium oral taxon 097. RNAcentral's name for it is "bacterial SSU rRNA". It matches the Rfam family "Bacterial small subunit ribosomal RNA", at positions 28 to 447 of the family's 1533-position model. Lineage: Bacteria; Bacillati; Bacillota; Clostridia; Lachnospirales; Lachnospiraceae. The record is from RNAcentral.
GAUGAACGCUGGCGGCGUGCUUAACACAUGCAAGUCGAACGAGAAAUGGAGACGGAAACCUUCGGGCGGAAGCCUUCAUUUCGAGUGGCGGACGGGUGAGUAACGCGUGGGUAACCUGCCUCAUACAGGGGGAUAACAGUUGGAAACGACUGUUAAUACCGCAUAAGACCACAGCACCGCAUGGUGCGGGGGUAAAAACUCCGGUGGUAUGAGAUGGACCCGCGUUCGAUUAGCCAGUUGGCGGGGUAACGGCCCACCAAAGCGACGAUCGAUAGCCGAUCUGAGAGGAUGACCGGCCACAUUGGGACUGAGACACGGCCCAAACUCCUACGGGAGGCAGCAGUGGGGAAUAUUGCACAAUGGGGGAAACCCUGAUGCAGCGACGCCGCGUGAGUGAAGAAGUAUUUCGGUAUGUAAAGCUCUAUCAGCGGGGAAA